RNAcentral lists this long non-coding RNA (555 nucleotides) under Homo sapiens (human). RNAcentral's name for it is "non-protein coding lnc-CNPY2-4:1". The record is from RNAcentral. Lineage: Eukaryota; Metazoa; Chordata; Mammalia; Primates; Hominidae.
AGUGGGCGGGGCCUCCUUGAGGACCCCGGGCUGGGCGCCGCCGCCGGUUCGUCUACUCUUUCCUUCAGCCGCCUCCUUUCAACCUUGUCAACCCGUCGGCGCGGCCUCUGGUGCAGCGGCGGCGGCUCCUGUUCCUGCCGCAGCUCUCUCCCUUUCUUACCUCCCCACCAGAUCCCGGAGAUCGCCCGCCAUGGCUUUACUUACUGCGGCCGCCCGGCUCUUGGGAACCAAGAAUGCAUCUUGUCUUGUUCUUGCAGCCCGGCAUGCCAGUGCUUCCUCCACGGUAAGGUUUGGAAAAGAAGACUAAGAAUAAGAAUCAUUGCGGCCAGCCUGACCUUGGGGCAGAGGAUUUGGCAACCACCUGGCCUCUUAUUAUCCUGAAAUUUGAAAGACAUAUUGGCUGACCUGAUACCUAAGGAGCAGGCCAGAAUUAAGACUUUCAGGCAGCAACAUGGCAAGACGGUGGUGGGCCAAAUCACUGUGGACAUGAUGUAUGGUGGCAUGAGAGGCAUGAAGGGAUUGGUCUAUGAAACAUCAGUUCUUGAUCCUGAUGAG